UAUUGUGAUCCAAGGGGAGGACCUGGUACUUCGCCUUGUUGAAGCUCUUACUACAUUGGCUAAUCUCAGUCUCUUUUAAGAUAAUAAGUUGUGUGGAAGGCUUGCUAGGCCUGAAAGCUGGUCAAGGGCACACCAAUCUCACAGGCCAAAUGCGGAUCAGUGGAAAAGAGAUUUCUGUUUGCUGCAUAACAGCAAGAGGAUCAAGAAAAAUAAAGGUUAAAAUGGUGUCAUGGUGUCUUCUAUACCUUUCCUGGCCAAUUCCUCUAUUUAAUGAUAAAUGUAUACAGAGGUCCACACACAGAAGAAUUAACAGGAGCUUAACCUCCUACUUCGGAGCCUAACUUCUGUCAGUUAUAGUUUUUAAUUUGAAGUAUGUGCUACUCUGUGCUGCUUUGUCAAAGUAUGGUCUUUUGAGAGAUUUUGUUAAGUCCCUGUCAUAAAUGUUUCAUGAGUGUCAGCACCAAGCAUCAGCUAUAAUAAAAAUGUGUAUUUUUUCUGUACUUUUAUAUUC
Molecule: long non-coding RNA, 511 nt
Filed under: Parus major (Great Tit)
Lineage: Eukaryota; Metazoa; Chordata; Aves; Passeriformes; Paridae
Description: lncRNA (ENSPMJG00000003099.1)
Source: RNAcentral